Molecule: long non-coding RNA, 39967 nt
Filed under: Setaria italica (foxtail millet)
Lineage: Eukaryota; Viridiplantae; Streptophyta; Magnoliopsida; Poales; Poaceae
Description: long non-coding RNA (SITA_LNC004859)
Source: RNAcentral
CUAUCAUCCUCAACACCUCAAGUCUUCAAACCUCAGAUACUCCAAUACAAACAAUGGCUUUCCAUCUACGAUCAGUUAGCCUGCCAUCUAAGAGGCUCUCCAAUGAAGCUGAAGUCGAAGCCGAGCUGCAAAGCCUGGAGGCAAGCACCUCUUCCCCUUCUGCAACCAUCGAGUCAGCAUGCGAUGGUUUGAGGAGGCUUGGAGAUGUCUACAGCCACAUCGAGGAGAUCAUCCACUUGCCUAGCAACCAAGUUUGCUCCAUCCAGCAAAGGAAGGAGUUGGACGAGGAAAUGGAAAGUUCUCUCGAGAUAAUCGAUCUCUGCAAUGCCAUGCAAGAGAACUUUGCCGAGCUGAAGACCACCAUCCAAGAUCUGCUGGUGGUCCUCAGAAGGGGAGACGAUUCAAACACUCAGGCCAAGGUCCUUUCAUACAUCCGCUUGGUCAAGAAGGCGCAGAAGCAAUCCAAGAAGACUAGCAAAAAGCCUACCUCUAACGAGUGCAAGCUGGUCAGGCUAUUGCUCAAGGCUAGAUUGGUCGCCGCCUCUCUUCUUGAGUUAGCACUGCGCCUCGUAUCCAAGCAAGGGGUGAUGCCCAAGAGGUCUCUUGUCUCCAAAGCAUUCCAGAAGAGAAACGUGGUUGUUUGCAAGGAGGAGCAGUUGCAGGCGUUAGAGUGCAUCAUUGGAGAUCUUGAGCAUGGAGCAGAACAACUGUUCAGGAGGAUGAUCCAGAGCAGAGUUGCUAUCCUAAACAUCCUUAGCUCAUAGAUUCUCCUCAAGUUUAGACACUCUAACAUCCUGCGAUUGGCCUCCGCAUUUUAAAGGAUCUGCCAAUCCUCACACAUGUACAGUACCUGUAAAUGUACAGAGAAAGUAGUGAAAUUGAAGAAAACAAUUUUGAUCCAGACAAACUUUCCUGUCCAACAGUCUAUACAUGUUUCUGAUUUCAGUAGCAGUUUCAUCUUUUUGAGUUGAGCACAAAACGUAAUUACGCUAACUACAUGAUUACCAGCAAUAAUGCUCUGGUCAGUGGCCACCCACUAACUUCCACUACCUAAAGGUCAGUGGGUCUAAAUUUCUCAAAAGCAUGUGCAUCUCGCUUUGAUUUCCAAAGUGGCCAUGUUACCCGCACUUGUUUAGCCCCGCAAUAAGCACCCCAUCCCCUUGCUGCGCGGAUCACGCUGGCACGCCAGCUCCGCCCCACGAGGCAUCACCGUGUGAUUAGGCGGUUUAGCAUUAUUGGGUUUGUUCAAUCGCCCAAAUUGCAAGCGCGAUAUGCACCAUGCGCGGCAACUUUCCCGGCAUCCAAAAUUACAGUGCUUCCCCUUGUUAUUCGUAAUGGAGUAACACCAAUCGAGCAGAACCAAUUCAUGGAUCAGCAGUUGGGAUGAAUGAUAAGAUAACGCCAGCUGUUCGAAGUAAAGAACCAAAAUGGAGUAGUAGGAAAGUGGGGGAGGUCAAAGCGCAGCUCAUGAUUGCCAGAGCCCUGGUCUUGUGGCUGGAUAGGGUGCAGGAAUAUCGGUCCUUAUCGCAGGAUGAGUCCAGUUUAAGGAGUCAGCUCAAAUGCAAAAUCCUUGAUCUUUCUUCUCUCGAGCGCACCAUAGCACGCCAACGCUCUAGGCUUGUGUUCCUGAAGGAGGGUGACGCCAACACUAAACUUUUCCAUAUACAUGCAAGCCACCGCACAAGAAAGAAGCACAUUGCCAGGCUUGAGCAUGAGGGCGUCACUGCAAUCACACACGACGAGAAGGAACUGCUCCUAUUCAACUACUUUGGGAUGAUCCUCGGAACACCAUCGUCAAGAACAGAUGCCAUCGACCUAAGUCUGCACCCAGUCGACCUCAAUCACCUGGAUGCACCAUUCCCUGAGCAGGAGGUCUGGAGAACUAUUGUUGAGCUACCAAAUGAGCGCGCCCCCGGGCCGGAUGGCUUCACGGCGGAGUUUUACAGAGCAGCCUGGCCGGUGAUCAAGAGAGACGUUCUUGCAUGUUUUGACGCGCUCUACCAUGGGGCAUGCGUCCAAUUUGGCCGCCUGAACAGCUCUCUUAUCACACUGAUACCGAAAAGGCAAGACGCGGUGUCCCCGGCCGAUUACAGACCUAUUAGCCUUGUUCACACUUUCGCGAAGCUUGUGGCGAAGCUGCUUGCUAACCGGCUUGGUCAGGAGCUGCACAACCUGGUGGACAUGAACCAGAGCGCGUUCGUCAAGCGACGGUCAAUCCAUGAUAACUUCAAGUUUGUGGAGCUAGCUGCGAAAACCUUGCACCGAAAACGUAAGCCCAGCCUUCUAAUUAAGCUUGACAUCUCAAAGGCAUUCGACACAGUCUGCUGGCCAUUUCUCCUGCAAGUUCUACAGGCGAGAGGAUUUAGGACUAAGUGGAGGGACUGGAUCUCUGUGCUCAUGUCCUCGGCCACCACUAGAAUACUGCUAAAUGGUUCCCCAGGUCGGUCAAUACGCAAUGCUAGAGGGCUGCGACAAGGCGAUCCACUUUCGCCAAUGCUUUUCAUUCUCGUCAUGGAAGUGCUGCACCGGCUCCUCAGGAGGGCGGCAGAGCAGGGAGUCGUCUCCCACCCGGCUGAUAACGCCAUCUGCCAUCAGUGCUCUUUAUACGCUGACGACGUGAUAAUAUUUGCUAGGCCAGUGGCCCAGGAUGCCAUCGCCAUUAAAGGGAUUCUUGACUUCUUCGGCAAUGCUUCUGGGCGGCUUCUGGGCGGCGUACAAAUCUGCAGAAGUGCUCCAUCGCUCCAAUUGCUUGCAGUGAUCAGCAAAUUGAGAGAAUCAGAGGUAUUUUCCCUGCUCAAGUGGUAGGGUUUCCCAUACAGUAUCUUGGCAUGCCCCUAUAGCUUCGGCGCUUGAGAAAGACCCAUUUCCAACCAUUGAUUGACAAAGUGGCCGGUAAAAUCCCUAGCUGGAAGGCUCAACUCAUGAACAAGGCGGGGAGGCUAACCGUGGUCCAAUCAGUCCUGACAGCGACCUGCACCUACAAUCUAAUCUCCCUUGACAUCCCGGCCUGGGUAUUCCAUGAAAUUGACAAACUCCGAAAAGGCUUUCUGUGAGCAGGAAAGCAGGCUGCCAAUGGAGGGCAAUGUGCAGUGGCCUGGCCAAUUGCAUGCCGUCCUAAACUUGUGGGUGAUCUAGGUAUUCAGGACCUCAGAAUGGCAUCGCUGACCCUCCGUUUGCGCUGCCUGUGGUUCAAGAGGACUGAUGAUCAGCGGCCAUGGAAGUACCUAGCCAAUACACUGGACAACAAUCACACCUUGCAUAAAAUCUUCCAAAUUUCCACCCGUGUACACUUGGGCAACGGGAACAUUGCACUCUUCUGGGAUGACUGCUGGCUUGGCAACCUUUCUCCCUGCAUUUUAGCUCCUGAGCUGUGUCUCAUGGUACAGCCAAAAAUCAGAAAAACAAGAUCUGUGGCGGCUGCACUUCAGGGGAAAAGAUGGAUCCGGGACAUUGCCGGACGCCUAACAGUGGCUGCAAUCUCGCAAUACGUCCAGCUAUGGCACGCUGUAUCUGAGGUCCAGCUCCAGGAAGGAGCAAUCGACACGAUCUCGUGGCGUUGGGAGAAUUCAGGAACAUACUCCGCUAGGUCGGCCUACAACUUCUUCUUCAUUGGGUCAGUAAAAUCCCCGGCAUUUGGUUGUAUCUGGCGAGCUUGGGCCCCCCUUCGAGUUAAGCUUUUCAUGUGGCUUGCUAUGAUGCAACGAUUAUGGACCUCGGCUCGCCGUAAGAAACAUGGGCUACAGAACUGGGACGAGUGCUAUCUUUGUUGCUAGGAGCCCGAGACCUCUGAUCAUCUGCUUGCCACUUACAGCUACACGAAGCAGGUAUGGUACUCGGUAGAUCAAAUGACAGGCAACGCCUCCUUCCUGCCAGCCCCCGGGUCUUCACUCAUGGAUUGGUGGCUGCUUCGGAGGCGAAGCUUCCAUGGCACCAGGAAGAAAGGGAUUGACACCACAACCAUCUUGGUCUCCUGGCGUAUUUGGAAAGAGCGAAAUAAUCGAGUAUUCAACAGAGAUCCUCAACAGACGCUGCAACAGCUAGCAGCAGCAGUCGCGGACGAAGCGGCGAUCUAGUUCAUGGCUGGGGCACACUGCCUGUAUAGUGUAGGAUGGCAUUUUGAUAGUUUGUGACGCUUUGGUGUUGGUAGUUUAAUGUCUAGGAGCUCCCGUCUCAUGUAAUUAGCCCCUAGAAUCACUUCUACCGUGUGCGUGCUCCCGGUUUAGACCCGCGUUGUAUAAGCACUAUCUAUUUCUUCUUAAUGGAAUGAUGCGCAGCUCUCCUGCGUAUUCUAGAAAAAAAAAGAAGUAAAGAACGGAGAGCAGAGUGAGACCUCGUGGAUUGUGUGGGUAGCACGGAAGCGACCCCCACGGUGCAGCCGGCGGAGGUCCUCGGCGGACGGCAGUGGCGGCGACCUCGACGGUGCCCCGGGCGGAGCUCCAAUCCCCGUCCCCGGCGUCGGCGCCGCCGCUUUUGUCCUUCCUAUGUUGAAAGGCCACCUAGUUCCGCCGUACCUGGGCCGGGUCUUAGGGCUGCUACUGGGCCCAUAUGCAUUGAAAAGAAGCUUCCCGGCCCAAAAACUGAGGCCCCGACAGAGUCAACUAUGAUUACGACGAAUGGAUCCAUGAUGACGAGGUGGAAGUCGCCGGCAAUUGUCAGCGUUCAUCCAUCCAUCCAUGCCGCUGCUGCGGCAAGCACGCCGUGCCCAUCCGGCCGCGACGCCGUACGCCAAAGGGCGUCCACCCUGUUGCCGCCGGGGAAGAAAAACGGACAGCCUUGACGGCGGCGAGGACGGCGCGCCAGUGGGCACCCUCCCUGACGACGUGCUCUCUGCGAUCUUCUCCCGGGUGCCCUCGGGCGACGCCGGGGUUGCGCGUUGCGCCGCGACGUGCAGGCGCUGGGGCCGCGUCGUGGCCUCGCGCGCCGCCGUCAUCGCCCACGCCCUGCCCAGGCCGUGCGCCGUCAUCGCUCUAGGACGGGAGCAGUUCUGUGAACUCCGUUCAAGGAUUGGUGUAGUCAAUAUUCAAAGUGUGCGCAAGGCUUAGGAGGAGAUUUGUUGGGUAAUCCUUGCCACACACCGUAGUUAGUUGCAGUUUUCAGUUUAGCUCAGUAACGUUUUGUUUUCAGAAUGCAUGCGCAUGAGCUCCGAGCUUUGUGGAUGCCAUGCGCGCGUGUAUAUAGCCGUGGCGAGAAUAGCUCGCGCACUACUGAGAGUGCCGAGGUUUCAGCGGCGUCGUUGAGCGUGGGGAUGGACGCGCUCUUCCAGCGGCGUGCGGCCGGACUUGUAGGCCACUCGUUUGCAUUGUAAUCACCAAUAAAAGGUGAAUGAAAAAACAAGAAAUGCUGCUGGUUGUUCGCAGCGCAAACCACUGUGUUCGAGUGUUCAUCGCGUUUGCGUGUGUAUGUGUGUGUGUGCGAGCUCAAGUAGCUCUCAGGACCCUCGCCGGCGUUCUUGUGCGCCACCCGGGGUCUAACAACGGCCUCACCCUCUGCGUGUGCAACCGAUGACGGGGGAGGCGGCCGUGCUCCGGCCCCUCGCUGGCGACGACUGCCCUGGCUACUAUGCAUGCUACUCACCGGGGACGACCUCGACGUCGUGCCACCGCGCUGCUGCUCGCUGGGAUUCUUCCGGCUUCUGCUCGUCUACAACCGCUGCAGCUUCACGGCGUUGAGGUGCUACUCCUCGAACGCCGGCAGCUGAGGUCCGGAAGGCCGGAAGCCCGGCGCCAAGAUGAGCAGCCGCAUGCUGCAGCAGCUAGGUCCGGCGGUCUGUGGUCAAGCUAGUAAUCCUGAGUUCUCGCUCAUCUGUUAGUUGUUAGUUUCUAUCCUAGCUAUUCGUUGCAUCAGUUAGUUUUCUGUUAGCUAGAGUUUUGGGCUCGGCUCGGACUUCAUCCUCCCGAGCGCGUCAUGUGCAUCGUGUGCAUGUUGUGCGGCAUGAUCUGCAUGUGGGAUGGCACAUGCGCCUGGAUCAUGCCGGGCAUAACGGAGGGCACGAGUAGAGCUCGGCCACUCCUUCCUGAAUAAGCAUUGUACAAAUAGUUUGCAAUACAUACAGAAAAGCCGCAACGGUUUAGCGCAGCACAAAAAACACUUCCCUGUGUUCAUCUCUGUCCAACAGAGCUCGCCGGAGAGAAUUCCGGCUAACAUUUGGCCUCAGAGCUAUUCGAUCCCAGGGACCUGAUGUCUGCCAGGUCGGAGCCGCGUCUACCAGGUCGGAGCCGCGUGGCGGCCUGUCCCGCACGCCGCCACGCCACCGUCGCCCCUCGCUCUCGCCUACGCCCCGCCGCGGCCGCCGUCCUGCCGAAGUGAUCAUCCGACGGACAGUCAAGGAGACCGGCACCACCGUCCAGUACCCCACGCUCACUCGCUCCAACUAUCAGGAGUGGUCGAUGUUGAUGCAGGUGAACAUGGAGGCGGCGGGCAUCUGGUAAGCCAUCGAGCCAGAGGAGGAAGACGUCAUCGACUACCCCGACGACCGCCUAGCAAUGGCGGCCAUCCUGCGCUCCGUCCCGCCGGAGAUGCUCCCCUCGCUGCGUGGGAAGCGCACAGCGCAAGCUGCGUGGGACGCAGUAAAGACGAUCCGCGUCGGCGUUCAACGUGUGCGCGAGUCGACUGCCCAGCAGCUCCGAUGAGAGUUCGCGGCGCUGGCAUGGAAGGAGGGAGAGACGGCAGAGGACUUCUCUGUCCGCAUCACCGGCUUGGCGAACAACUUGCGCAUCCUCGGCGACGACAUCGCGGACGUAGAGAUCGUCCGCAAGAUGCUGUAGGUCGUCCCCGAGCAUCUCUCCCAGGUGGCCAUCUCCAUCGAAACUCUCCUCGACCUCAACACUAUCUCCGUCGAGGAGGUGACCGGGCGUCUGCGCGCCGUCGAGCAACGCCGCAAGCCAGCCCCCGUCGUCGACAACCAGGGCCGGUUGCUCCUUUGUGAGGAGGACUGGCUCGCUAGGCUCAAGAUCCGCGAGUCCGAGGGAAAAGGUGGCGGGAGCAGUUCCAGCAGUGGGAGUGGCGCCGGUGGCAAGAAGUGCGGCGGCCGCGGACGCGACUGUGGCCGUGGCAACUCCACCUCACACGACGGCAACCGCGGCGAGUCCGGCCCAGCGCCGGCCAGCAACCGCGAGCAAUGCAAGCGCUGCGGCAAAUACGGCCAUUGGGCCAAAGAUUGCCGCAGCAAGCCCAGGGCGGAGGUCCACGUCGUGCAAGCUGAGCAGGAUGUCGAGCCCACCCUGCUGAUGGUCCACGGCACUCUCUUCCCCAACACUAUGGCUCCUCCACGCGCCGCCACGGCCGCCGUCCCACUGCUGUUUGAGCACCGGCCCCUAUGCAUCGUAGAGGCGAAGGUCUUCGCUUAGCUUGAUGGCGACUCGGAGCGCGACGAUAGCCUUUGGUACCUCGACAGCGGGGCGACAAAUCACAUGUCCGGCUGCCGCAACGCCUUCAUCGACAUCGACACGGCGAUUCGCGGCACUGUCAAGUUCGGCGAUGGCUCGGAGGUCGCCAUCGAGGGGUCCGGCACCGUGCUAUUUGAGGGGAAGACCGGAGGGCACCUCCCUAUCACGGGGGUGUAUUUCAUCCCGAGGCUGACCACCAACAUUAUCAGCCUCGGCCAACUCGACGAAGGAGGCUGCGACAUCCACGCCAACGAAGAUGUUCUUCGGAUCCGCGACAACCAGGGCUGGUUGAUCGUGCGAGUCAAGGGCUCGCCGAACCGGCUGUAACAGCUGUGGGUGAAGAUUGCGCGGCCGCUCUGCCUGGCUGCGCGCGCCACCGACAGCACGUGGCUCUGGCAUGAGCGCUACGGUUAUCUCCACUUCGAUGCCCUGCGCAAGCUCGAGCAACGGGGGAUGGUUCAUGGACUGCCGUACAUCGACCGUGUGCACCAACUCUGCGCCGACUGCAUCACCACCAAGCUCAAGAGGAGCCCGUUCCCGUCGCAGGCAAAGCGGCGGGCGGACGGACUGUUGGAUCUGGUCCAUGGCGACUUGUGCGGUCCCAUCACACCGGUGACUCCCGGUGGUAUGCAGUAUUUCCUUCUGCUGGUUGAUGACAAGAGCAGGUACAUGUAGGUGGCACUACUCGCCGCCAAGAGCCACACUCUCGCUGCCGUGAAGAAGUUCCAGGUGCGAGUGGAGGUGGAAACAGGUCGGCGUCUGCGUGUUCUGCGAACGGACAAUGGGGGUGAGUUCACCUCCGUCGCGUUCGAGACCUACUGCUCCGAGCACGGCAUUGAACGGCAGCACACCGCGCCAUAUAUGCCGCAACAAAACGGCGUUGUGGAGCGAAGGAAUUAGAUGGUCGUCGCCACCGCGCGUAGCCUCCUGAAGAGCAGGAACAUGCCAGCGAUAUUUUGGGGAGAAGCUGUCGCCAGUGCUGUCUACUUGCUGAACAGGGCACCCACCAAGGCCGUCGACGGCAUGAUGCCGCACGAGGCCUGGCACGGCCGCCGGCCCGACGUCCACUACCUGUGCACGUUUGGCUGCGUCGCUUACAUCAAGGUGACGAAGCCGAACCUGAAGAAGCUGGAUGACCAUGGCACGCCGGUGAUUUUCAUCGGUUAUGAGCUGGGCGCCAAGGCGUGGCGCUUCUAUGACCCGACGUCGCGGCGUGCCGUCGUGUCCAGAGACGCGGUCUUCAACGAGCUGGCAUCCUGGACUUGGAAGGACGAGGACCUGAGCACCGGCUUGGCCUUCAUCAUUGAGUACCGCGACGUCGAUAUUGCAGCUGCCUCGCCUGAACCCGCAACGCCACCAACAACAUCGCCACCAGCAGCAAGUACACACACACCAGCUCCGACAGCGCCGCCACUACCCCUGGCCGAGUUCGUUUCUCCACCACCUGACGCGGAGGACUACCUGGACGCCGACAACGACGACGACGUCGAGCCGCGAUACCGCACCAUCGACAACAUCAUCGGCGCCGCGACAACACCGGGCUACGCCGCAUGGCAGGUAGCUGCUGAGCUCCAUCUGCAGGUUGAGGAGGAGCCGGCCUCUUUCGUCAAGGCCGAGAAGCACCCAUCCUGGCGGCGCGCCAUGCUAGAGGAGAUGGACUCCAUUGAGAGCAACAAGACGUGGCGGCUGACACCCCUUCUGCCCGGACACCGACCGAUCGGGCUGAAGUGGGUUUACAAGGCGAAGAAAAACGCUGCCGGCGAGGUCGUCAAACACAAGGUGCAGCUCGUGGCAAAGGGCUAUGUCCAGCAGCUGGGUGUGGACUUCGAUGAGGUGUUCGCGCGCGUGGCCCGCAUCGAAUCAAUGCGACUCCUGCUCGCGCUUGCUGCCCAGGAGGGGUGGCCGGUGCACCACAUGGAUGUGAAGUCCGUGUUUUUAAACGGGGAGCUGGUUGAGGAGGUGUACGUUCGCCAACCUCCCGGUUUCACCGUCGCCGGCCAUGAAGACAAGGUACUGCGCCUGGACAAGGCGCUUUAUGGACUGCGUCAAGCACCGCGUGCGUGGAACGCGAAACUCGACGAGACGCUGGUGGCGCUCGGCUUCAGCCACAGCGCGUCGGAGCACGCCGUCUACGCUCGCGGUGUGGGCACUUCUCGGCUACUGGUGGGGGUCUACGUGGAUGACCUCAUCAUCGGAGCACGCCGUCUACGCUCGCGGUGUGGGCACUUCUCGGCUACUGGUGGGGGUCUACGUGGAUGACCUCAUCAUCACCAGGAACGAUGCCACUGAGAUCGUCAAGUUCAAGCAGCAGAUGUGCUCCAGGUUCAAAAUGAGCGACCUUGGCUUGCUUUGUUUUUUACUUGGGUAUUGAAGUGCAACAGGCAGGCGACGGCAUCAGGCUCUCUCAGGCAGCUUAUGCGCGCAAGAUUCUGGAACGCGCGGGCAUGGGGUCCUGCAACCCGUGCCACACUCCAAUGGAGCCCCGCCUGAAGCUGUCGACGGCAAGCACGGCCACGCUGGUGGACGCCACUAAGUACCGGGGACUAGUUGGUUGUCUUCGGUAUCUGGUGCAUACAAGACCGGACAUCACCUUCGCCGUCGGCUACGUGAGCCGCUUCAUGGAGCGACCCACCUCCGAGCACCUCAACGCAGUGAAGCGAAUACUAAGGUACAUCGCUGGCACAAUUGACUAUGGAUGCCAUUACAAGCACGGUGGCCAGGAGCCAAAAUUGCUGGGGUACAGCGACGCCGACAUGGGCGGCGAUGUUGAUACAAGAAAGAGUACAACUGGUGUGUUGUUCUUCUAUGGUUCCUGUCCAGUGAGUUGGCAGUCUCAGAAGCAAAAGGUCGUCGCGUUAUCUUCCUGCGAAGCUGAGUAUAUUGCAGGGACAACGGCGGCCUGUCAAGGAGUUUGGUUGGCGCAGCUGGUUGCAGAGCUAAAGAGCAAGCGGCGCGCUGCUUUCAUUCUCAAGAUGGACAACCAAUCGGCUAUUGCACUCAGUAAGAAUCCUGUAUUCCAUGAUCGUAGUAAACAUAUUGAUGUGAGAUUUCAUUUUAUCCGGGAAUGUGUUGGAGACGGGAAGCUGGACAUUGAGCACGUCCUCACUGAGGAGCAGCUUGCUGACAUUCUGACGAAGCCGUUGGCGCGUGAUCGUUUCUGUGAACUACGUGUGAAGCUGGGCGUCGGCAAGAUCAGCAAGGAGCUUCAGGAUUAGGGGGUGAAAUGUGGUCAAGCUAGUAAUCCUGAGUUCUCGCUCAUCUGUUAGUUGUUAGUUUCUAUCCUAGCUAUUCGUUGCAUCAGUUAGUUUUCUGUUAGCUAGAGUUUUGGGCUCGGCUUGGACUUCAUCCUCCCGAGCGCGUCAUGUGCAUCGUGUGCAUGUUGUGCGGCAUGAUCUGCAUGUGGGAUGGCACAUGCGCCUGGAUCAUGCCGGGCAUAACGGAGGGCACGAGUAGAGCUCAGCCACUCCUUCCUGAAUAAGCAUUGUACAAAUACGUUCCCAAUACAUACAGAAAAGCCGCAACGGUUUAGCGCAGCACAAAAACACUUCCCUGUGUUCAUCUCUGUCCAACAGAGCUCGCCGGAGAGAAUUCCGGCUAACACGGUCGUGCUCCACGGCGUCGCCUACUAGCGCAUGCACCGCGCGGCGUUCGGCGUGCGGCUGGACGGUGGCGCGGCGCCGGCGGGGACCAUGGACGUGUCACGUGUGCUGCGUGCCUUACAGGAUGUCACACUUCCUGCCAGAUUUCCGGCUGCAAGGCAUCGACGACAACAUGAGCAUGCUUAGGUUCUGGGAUUCGAAAUGCGAAAAAUUUUGGACCUGACCGAGAUAGGUGAAUCUCGGAAAUCUCGGAAAUUUCGUGUCGGGAUUCGGUUGUUUACAUGAAAUUUGGCUACAAUUAGAUGAAGAUUUAGGAAUUGAACACUCCUGUAUUAGAUAGUGGGAGAGAACUAGGGAGAUAUGAUGAUGAGCUAAGGAGGAAAACGGUGAAAACAUGUUGUUUCUGCGUUCGUUAGCCGUUACAAAGUGAGAGAAGUAAUUUAAAGAGAGUUAUAUAACUAAAAAUUUUCAUAUCUUUAUAGCUAGGAUGUUAUAUGGGUUGGUAUAGAUCUUAAUGAUGGUAGAGAAAAUCAACUUUAGUGAAAUUUUUUGACCAUGACCGAAAUGGGUCCGAAUCCCAGCACCCUGACUGAGCACGAUGGCUGAUCGAUGGGAGAGGCGAGGAGCCAUCCGCCUGCCCCAGUUCGAGGUUUAAGGGGCGACGGCCUUCAAGCUGCGAUGGUUCGGCGAGAAGAGCGGCACGCUGGUCUUCACCAUUGGAGAAGGGGGCAACACCAGUGGCGCGUUCGCGUUGAACCUCGCGACGAGGUCCGUCGAGAAGCUGGCCGACGGCGUCGAGUGCAACUCGUGGAGGAACUUGUGUGGAUACGAGAUGGACCGCGCCACGCUCCUUGGGUCGGUAGCCCGCUGCUUCUGAAACGUAUUAGCACGGUGGCUUCCGAUCCGGACGCUUAAAGUUCGGUAUUAGUGAGUAGUGCAAGUAACACUCAUAUGAUUGUUUUGUUUGCCACCAUCCAUGGCUGAACAGAACCCUCGAGCUCGCUGAACUGCAUCUGGCCGGUGGUGGCCACCCAGGGGUUGAGGUAGUAGCGGAUGAGCUCCAUCGCGAGUCGGGUUGAAGCGGUAGCACGGGGGCGUUCCGGCCGCCGCGCUUGCUCCAUCGUUCUCAGAAGCGUCCCGUGGUCAAGACGAGAUCAAGCGGCGGCCGGCAGGUCGGCGUGGCCACGGGCCUCCCGAUCGAGGGUCGCGCCGCCUUCAAUUUUGCCAAAAGUUCAGCGACACCGCCACGAUAUGACGCCACGCUCGGGUCGUGGCCGGCCAUGCAUGGGAGAAAUUAAACCGACGCGCCUAUUUAUACCCCAAUGCCCCACCAUUUGAGAUGUGUUAGAGCUUGGAGAAGUUAUAGGCUUGGUUCUCUCACUCACAAAAGUGCUCUAGCCAUCAAAGUGCUAAAGAGAAGAUUAAGACAAUUAGCAUAAGGCUUAGAUCUUGAUUAGUGCUAGUUUAGGCCUAUUAGCGUAUUGCUUUAGGAUUUAGCCUAGAGUUAGGCGAUGUUUGCACACCUCCUUUUGUAUCGGUGCUUACGCGUACCAAGAGUUGUAAAUCCGGAGCUUGUAAGUCUUGCGAGACUCUCCAACUGCGUUUGUAGAGUGGCCGCCGGUAGUUGUGAUAGGGAGGAGAGGCCCUAGACGUUUUGCCCAAGCUCUACCAAGUAAAGAGCAGCAAGGAACAUCCGGGAGAGGCUAGGCGGGGAUUCACUUGCGCGUGGGGAAGACCCGUCGGCUAUUCUACGGAGUUACUUGACCGGGGAGUUUAUGCCCUUGCGCGGGCAUUCCCUUCGAGAGGGGGCUCCAACAAUGAGGAUUAGUGGAAAGCUUUGCUUUCUGAUACUUCGGUAAAAAUCGCCGCGUCGCCACGCCGGGAGUUUGCUUUCUCUACCUUAUUUACCUUCCGCAUUUCUUAUUGCACUUAUAUUCCGCGUUUACCUUUCCUAGAAUUGCCAUGUGUAGUUUAUAGGAUUGGAACCUAGGGUGCAAAACUCUUUUACGGUAGAGAUAGCAACACAUAGAAAAACCUAAUGCACAUCUAGAUAGAAAUUGAAAUAUGUUUUUAUAUGUGCUUGUAGCCUUAGUUUUUAGAACACCCAAUUCACCAGUUUGUCAGAAUCCCUUCAAACUACGUGCUUUUUAUGCAUGAAGUAUGAGAAGUUGGGUCCGUCGUCAUGUAACAAGACUUGCAUGUUUGGAUUGUGUGGUGGUGUGGGUGAACUGAAAGCUGUUUGUGAUUUGCAAUGGUUAAUGUACUCUGUCAGUGAAUCGUUGUACUUGUCUUGUGAGCUCACUCUCGUUACUGCUGAAGUGCCUGUUCUUAUUUUCUCGGUGGAGAGCUCGUGCCAUGCCAUCAUGAAAUUGAAAGCAUCGGCAUCAUCUCGAGGUCGUCCCUGAUGAAAGCCUGGCCGCGCCGGGCGCCAAGCUGCGAGGCGGCAAGGCAACCUUCUCCUCGCGCGACGGUGGAUUUGGCUAGCCGAGCGCUCCGUCCAGCACGGACUUGCUGACGCUGAGCACCGCCGACUCCAUAGCUCUACUCCACUGCGUGUCCCUGUCAAGCUGAAGCUCCAAGCCUCCAGCUGAGUUGACUGCUCUGCCUUUUGGAUUGCCCUUUGAGCCCACGCAGGCCACCUCAGAUUCCCGGAUCAGCCAGGUGUACCGUUGGAUCAACUCUGUGCGGUCCAGAUUAAUCGGAGCAAAAUAAAAGGAGACAGAUACCAGAUCGUCCCGGUGGCUAUCGCGGCAGGCCGGCGGCGGUCGCUGUCGAGGGGACGGGGAGGAAGCGACGGCCGACGGAGAGGUACGCGGACGUGCUGGGCGCGUGGUGGAACUGGAACUGGAAAAGGAGCGGCGCAGAGGGAUUCCGGGGCCGCUCUCCGAAGGGGGGACGGCGCGAGGCGGUAGGGACCAAGGGUCUCGCAGUCGCUGUCGUGCAUACCUAAGGUGAGGCGCGCUCCUCCUUCCUUCGUACUACCUUCCUUGUCCUUGGGAUGGUUCGAUUCCCACAUUGCCCGUGGCUCAGUAUGACAGUAUCCCCCCAUUGUGUCAGCAAGGUUGGAGAUCAUGGGCAAGCAACUGAUUCCUGUGGAUUGAUUUGGGUGUACUGUAGUUGAUUUGCAGUUUCUGAUUAGCAAGCUACGCCAAAUUGUCUAUCCUCCGUAGUUAUUUAGGAUCCUGCCUGGUGCAUGCACUUUCCGAUUAUGUAGUAGUAUGAAUUGAAUUUCUCGCGUUAGGAAAUUGGGAACCAGUUAACCAAUGCCGAGUUAGUUUGGCCACCCUGUGACAGUUCAUCACUUUCGUGGGCUGGGAUCUGAAGGAAAUUCCUUUUUUUUAAGAACUUAUUAAUCACUUUGCACAAGUUAUUAACCCAUGGAAGUAUUUUGAUUUACUUGUGUUUUUUAUCCGCAUGUGGAAAGUGGACUGGUGUUAAGAAAAAGGGCAGUCGCUACUCGCUAGAGCGCUACAUCAUAGCAAAAUCUGAUUUUUCUUUGCCAACAUCAUUGAAUCAUAAUUUACACACGAUCUAUCAACAAUACUUUGUUGUUUCAAGGGCGAGCUUGAUUCCUUCUUUUUCUAAUCACAGUGUGAUUUUUAUACAUGCAUCCAUCUGCACAUCCGCAGUGUACCAUUGGAAAAAUGUUGCACCAAAACCGUGCUCCAAGGUACAGCUGGGAAAAAAAAAGAUGGAAGGGCAAAAAAAGAGAGGAAACAGGCUCGAAUCCCUGGAUAUCUUCAUCUUCAGGAGCUGCACACGGCGAAUUGUUGGUCCAUUCCACUUGUUGGCUGCACCAUCCUGCUGGGGUGGUGGCAAGGCAUCAGUAUGGAACUGAGGAGUGCCUUCUCAACAUCUUCGGAGGCUUCUCUCCUUAGCAAACACAUCACAUACUCCAUCACUGCUGUAUCGCAAGGCAGUGUGAUCCUCCCAUCACUUGUGAACCCAAACUCUUCCUGCGACAGCUUCAGGAGCUCCGAGAAGACUGUCGUGUGGAGGUAAGCGAGGGGGAUCUCAAACCGCUUCCCAUCAGAAGAGUAGACAAUGCAGUUGCCCUUCCCUGCAACUAUGCUGCUGCAAGAUGUGUUGAUCUCCUUGUCCACAGUUGUGACCCUUUUCCACCCGAUUGCACCCGUUCCCUGCCACUUCUUGGACAGUUGAGCUAGCUUCUUGGAACUGAUCAUGGUGGCUUCCUGCCUUUCAAGGAAAUGGAUUCUUGUCUUUGAGAUGAAAGGAUCAGAAAUGAUUUGAUUUGUGUGUGGUGAUGGUUCGCAUUUGUGAUCGUGUAUUUAUAGGGCACUUAUGUGGUAGGACUUGGGAGGGUCUGCAUCUUGGUCUUGGCUAUUACAAAUGGCAAGCUGGCAAGGGACAAGCCCACGAGCUUCCUUGGUGAGAUGUUCCUAUCUAUGGUUGGGAGGUUCAAUGCACAGGACCAUUGUUUAUCACAUGGUGGAGCCAUGUUUACUGGCUUGGUACGUGAUUGCUUCUGCCUACCAGAGUGGGCCUAAUUUUGACUCAAUGGUGCUAGGAGUAUAGAGUCUUUUAUUUAUACAUUAACAGGGUCCUUUUUCUAUACGCGCUCAUGCAGGGGCGAAGCUAUGUACAAUUAGCCUGGUGCACACUGCACAGGCAUGCCAAUUGUCUUACUUUGACCAUAUAUGCACCAGUUUUUAGUUAAAAAUAUUCACUAUACAGCAUAAUGCCACUUUGAUGGCCACCACCAUGAUUUUAGUUCUAGCUUCGCCACUGCACUGAUGUACUCUUUAUAUCUAUCAUCAAAUGCAAAUUCUAUUCAUAACAAACAGUAAAAAUUGGCAUGUCCAGUUUUUCUCAGUUUGUUUUCCUGAGAUAUUAAGCGUGAUAACUGACUUACUGUCCCUUCUUAUAUAGGUUCAAUUCACCCUAUCCUAUGUUGUUCAAUGAGAAUCACAUUAGAUGAGGUAUAUUUCUCUGCUCCUUACGGUAUUAUUUGCAGAAACAAUUUCAUUCUGCAUCUGCUGGAUUUUGUGGUCUCUUUUCCAGCAAUUGCCAUGUGAUGGAAACAAGAUAACAUGGUUGCGAAUCAGCCAAGGCAUUCUCUUGAAAGUUGUUUACAUCUAACAUAGAAAUUUGGCAGCCAGUAUUUUCCACCUAACUAUAUAAACUUUUGCACUAAGGUUCCUGCUUAGAUGGAGCAUAUAUUUUGCUAGUUCUCUUCCUAGAUGGCAUGAUGGUCUGUGGAUGAAGUUCGGAUCUGAGAAUGUUCAUUCUAGUGUUGAGUAAAUAUGUAUAGGUGACAAAAGAAAUAUCAUCCCGUGUUGUUUCAAUGAAAUAAAAUAAGCUUUUACAUUUAUUGAUGUGCCUAGUUGGUGAGCUGCAAGGCCAUGAACCUGUCAAUGCAAUGUUUGCUACAAUGAAGGCUGUGCGAUUAUGAAUCUGAUGUUGCUGGGCCAAAGUUUGGUGCACCGCAGUCCUUGCAAAGGCCAUUGUAGGGACUUUGUAGUUGAAUAAUUGGAGCUGUAUGCUGUACUAGUGGCUCUGCAUUUGAUAUAAGCACUCAGCAAUCAUUUUAGUCCCAGCUCUUGUGAACAUAGGGACAGAUUUAUAAAAGAUCAUUUUGAGAGCGACCAUCGAAAAGAUUAUCGAGGAUGCUUCAUGAGUCCUUCCUUAGUUGAUGAGAAGAGAGCCAUACAGUGGCCAAGAGACACAAGGGAAGCAUGUAGGGUCCUGAGUUUUAAGAAGUAGCCUCCUUUGUUAGUUGCCUAAGGAGAAUUGGAGAUGUCAAUAGGAUAAAUGCUUUUGCCAACAUUAAUUCUGUUAGGACGGUGCUGGUUGGUUGAAACAACUUGCCCGACAAUUCCUUAACAUCGGCAUUCUACGUUGUGGCCCAACUAGCCCCAGCAUCUCAUGUGCUCUCCAUUUCCUUGUUUCUUCCUGCCAUUCCUGGUAGACCCCUGCAAUAAGACCGAACUUAUCUGAAUACAGUUAUGGCCAUUUCUUUUUAAAAUUGCUGGUACUUUGACUAGUGUUGCACUGUUGCAUGGCAAAUUUUACGACCAUGUUUUUGCGUUGAAAUAAGCUUAUCCCAUGUGCAUAUCUGACGACACUCCAGGUGAUCAUUUCAGGUUCUCAACUCAUCCAUGCCCUUUUUGUGAUUUGAAGAAGGCAUAUUCUUUGUUUAGGGUCUUCAGGGGAUACUUGAUUACAUAUUUUACUUGUGUAAUGUAUACAUCUUUUGUCCAUCAUUUCAGGUGCUUUUUCAUAAGUCUCAAAGUGGAAUAAUAUGAUCUUGGGAUCAGGAUAGUCAGCUGCUCUGGAUCAUAUGUUAGAAAGGUCAGUACAGCACAGGGAACCUACCAACUUACAUGCACUGUAACCUGCAUACAAAUCUUCAUUAUAUGAUGACAACUAAGCCAUUAGUACAGUCCUAGUCGAAUACUACAUAUUGUUAUAUCCAUUAGGAUGUAGUAACUUGAGUCAUGAAUAAGGAGACUUCCUAGAACAUUGGUCAAUUCUGAUUUACGUUUAUUACAGAAAAUGUUAAUUAACAUCGUCUUUUUUUUGGUUCAGAUAACUAUAGUCAAGAAAAAAAAGGAGAUUCACUAGACCAUCGGUUAACUGGAGUCAGCCUUACACUUUCAUGUUUCGAUGGCGAGCUUGAUUCCUUCUUUUCUAAUCACAUUGUGAUUAUUUUUACAUUCAUCCAUCUGCGCAACCACAGUGUACCAUUGGAAAAACAACGCACAAAAACCGUGCUCCAAGGUACAGCUGGGGAAAAAGAUGGAAGGGGGAAAAAAGAGAGAAAACAAGCUCAAAGCCCUGGAUAUCCUCAUCUUCAGGAGCUGCAGACAGCAAAUUGCUGGUUCAAUCCACUGGAUGGCUGCACCAUUCUGCUUUGGUGGCGGCAAGGCAUUACUAUGGAACUGAGGAGUGCCUUCUCAACAUCUUCAGAGGCCUCUCUCCUCAGUAAACACAUCACAUACUCCAUCACUGCUGUAUCGCAAGGCAGUGUGAUUCUCCCAUCACUUGUGAACCCAAACUCUUCCUGUGACAGCUUCAGGAGCUCCGUGAAGACUGUUGUGCGGAGGUACGUGAGGGGGAUCUCAAACCGCUUCCCAUCAGAAGAGUAGACAAUGCAGUUGCCCUUCCCUGCAACUAUGCUGCUGCAAGAUGGGUUGAUCUCUUUGUCCACAGUUGUGACCCUCCUUCGCCCAAUUGCGCCCAUUCCCUGCCACUUCUUGGACAGCUGAGCUAGCUUCUUGGAGCUGAUCAUGGUAGCUACCUUCCUUUGGCUUUCAAGCAAAUGGACUCUUGUCUUUGAGAUGAAAUAGUUAGAAACAAUUCAAUCAGUGUGUGGUGAUGGUUUUUGCAGCUAUCAUGUAUUUAUAGGGAACAUAUGUGGUAGGACUUGGGAAGAUUUGCAUCUUGGUCUUGGCUUAUCAUAGACGGCAAGCUGGCAAGGGACAAGGCCAUGAGUUUCCUUGGUGAGAUGUUCCUAUCUAUGGUUGGGAGAUUCAAUGCACAGGACAGGUCCAUUGUUUCUCACAUGGUGGAGCCAUCUUUACUGGCUUGGUAUGUGAUUGCAGCCAGAGUGGGGCUAAGUUUGACACAAUAGUACAAAUUGCUGGGUUCAGUUCUUUUAUCUUGCUUGAUCUCAAGUGGGCACUGGCUUACUCCCUUGUUAUAUAUGUGCAGUUUGCUUGAUGUUGUAGUUUCCGAUGAUAACGUCUUUAAACAAGGUACAUCAAUCCGCCCUUAUGAUUUUAUUUGCCAAAUUAUUUCAAUUUUGCUUUUGCCGAUUUUUCUCGUCUCUUGUCCUGCAAGCGCAAUGUGAUAGAUACUAACAUAGUUAAGAAUCAGCCAAGGCAUCUUGUAAAAAGAUGUUUUUUUAAUGUAGAGAUCUGCCGAUCAGUAUUUCUACCUAGCUAUAUAAUCUUCUUGCAUAGUGCUCAUGGUCAGAACAGAACAUUUCUUCUUUUGCUAAUUUGCUGCCUAGACGGUCUGUUUAAGAACGCUGGUCUGUGGAUGAACUUGGGAACCGAUGAUAUUCAUUAUGGUGAUGAAUAUAUGUAUAGGUGACAAAAAUGGUCCAUGUGCUUUCAAUAAAAUAAAAUAAUAGGGUCCAUGGCUUUUGCAUAGUAGUUAUUGAUGUCACUAGUUUGGCAAGCAGCAUGGCCAUGAAUCUGUUAAUGCAAUGUCUUCUACAAUAAAGGCAGUGCACCGAUGUUGCUGGGCCAAAUUUUGGUGCACCGCCGUCCUUGCAGCGGCCAUGGUAGGGACUUGGUAGUAGGAUGAUUGGAUCUAUAUUGUGACUAGUGGUUUGACGUUGGACAUAAGAACUAGACAAUCAUCUUAGUCCCAGCUCUUGUAAACAUAAAAACAUAUUUAUAAGGGAAUCAGUUGGAGAGCGACCAUCAGAAAGAUUAUCCAGGAUGCUUCGUGUGCCUUUGUUUAUCUGAUGGCGAGAGCUGUACAGUGGCCAAGAGACAUGAGGGAAGCAUGUAGGGUCCUGAGUUUUGACAAGUAGCUUCCUUUUUUAGCUGUGAAAGGAGAACUGGAUAUGUCGAUAGGCUACAUCCUUUUUCUAACAUUAAUUUUGGUUGGGACGGUGCUGGUUGGUCGAAACAACUUCCAUUGACAAUUUCUUAUCGUUAUUGUGCACUGUGGUCCAACCGAUUUGUCCCCAGCAUCUCUAGUGUCCUGUUUACCUCUUUUUUUCUGUCAUUCCUGGUAGGUCUCUACAUCAAAGGCUGCAUCUAUGAGCUAUCUCACUAUCUGAACCCCAUUUGGCAAUUUCUAUUAGAAAUAUUGUUGUACUGUGACCAAUGUUCUGUAUGGAGAACCUUAGAGCCAUACUCUUGGCGUUGAAAUAAGAUCGUCUCAUCUGCAUAUCUGACUCCACUCAUCCUGGCAUUCUGCAGAGUGGGGUCUUUCAUGCUCCCUAUUCAUCCAUGCCCUUUUCUGAAGAGACAUACUGAUGUCGCUGUGGUCAGUUUAAUUCCUUUUGUAGGUGACUUAUCAUAUCGUGUAUCAGACCUUAUGCACCUUUGCAUCAGAUCUGUUACAAAUCCAACGUGCAUCAGAGCUUUUUAGGUGCGCUGGGCGUGGCAUAGCUGCCUCCAACAGUCGUUAAUCGACUUUUCGGUUGUUUACGUUUUCGUGUAAUUCUCAUUUGUAGCAAGCCAUGUGCGUGUGUUCGGUUGGCCCGCGUUAUAAGUUAAACUUUUCUUUUUAAUACAAAGAUACGCAGCUCUCCUACGUAUUCAUGGAAAAAAAUACAAAUCCAACGUGCAAAGUUUUUGUGUUAAAAAAAAGAGGCAUAUUCUGUGUUAGUUUCAGGAGAUGCUUGAUAGCAAACUUUAACCUUUGGUCCAACAUUUCAGGUGUUUUUUUUCUCAAAGUCAGAAGUGGAAUUGCAUGAUCUGGGGAUCAAGAUGCUCAGUUGUACUGGGCACACGCUAGAAUGGUCACCACAGAACACAGGACACCUACCAACUGCAUGGUAACUUGCCUACAAAUAUUAUUUUUGAUACGGUUGAUUUAAAAAAAACGUCUUCACAUAAAGUGUGCAGCAAACAAUAAUUUCUUUCUGACAUAAUUUCCCGUUUCGACGAAACAUUGAAAAUUACCUGUUUGCAACAUGAAAAAAUUAUCUGUAGAAAUGACCAUAUGGUUCGACUCUGAGAUAGAAAAUUCCUGCCGUAACAUGAACACUAUGUUUCAUGCAACAUCAAUGUGAAACAUGCAAAAAUAAUAGUUGUAACAUCGAUGCUUAACUAUUGCAACGUAUGUCGGAGUAUCCUAUAUUUUUAAGAUUCCGAUAUUUCCUGACGUUGAAUUUCUUUUCUUUUGAAGGAAAUGUUAAAUCUGUAUUCCAUUGGAUGUCGUUGCUAUGAGUAGUGAAUAUAUACUAUGGGCCAGGCCAAAAAAGCAAUGCCUCCCCUGCCUGCUUCGUGGCCGGUCCAGCAGCUGUUUUGCCCCGGGCUGUAGAAGGGCUGGGCCAACAAGGCCACAAGUAAUCGAGGCCCAGUCCGUCAGGUUGAUCUGUGGUCGUCAAGCAGAUGAUGCUCUGCAGCAGCUGCAAGCAGUGAAGUCACAUAACAGUGUAGAGUACCAGAACAGUCGAAGCAGUUGUACUAAAUCGUGCCAAACUCUAGCUUUAACAGCAACUACCGGCUUGUUCUAUUAUCAUUGUUUUUAUUUACAAGAGUGAUACACACUGGCUGUUCUGAGUUGCGUGUAAAUGCUAUAAGAAGACAAUAGUGUGGUUCUUUUUCUAUUUUUAUAUCGUGUCUUGCUUUAAAUUAACCAUAUUUGCAUGGAAAAGCUAGUCACUAUUCUUACUCGUUUGAUUAAUGGAUCCAACCACCCGCCUUACAUAUUUUUCCUGCAAUGUAUAAUUCUUGGUGAGAAUCAUCAACUUUAUAAUGUUUUAAAAACAGCUCACGCUUUUUUAAUGAUCUUUUUUAUAGUUAUGCGGGCGAUGAUAGGUGGAUUUGGGAAUUGGUUUGUUCCGAUUCUAAUACGUGCACCUGACAUGGCAUUUCCACGAUUAAAUAAUGACAUGGUAUUUCCACAAUUAAAUAAUAUAUCAUUCUGGUUGUUGCCAUGUUCUACCCUUUUUAUGGAAACCCUCUUCAAACUCUACAUGUACCUUGUACCUUGCUUCUCGCUUAUGUUCUCUACUAUAUAUGCUACUGUUGGCAAGUCUUGGUAUCAAUGUCAUACCUGCAUCUUUCCCUUUACAUUUUUCGUCUCCUUACAUUUUUGCUGCAUCUCAAAUUACAAGGCUAAGGAAAAAAAAAUUACAUUUCCUAGAGGAGACAUAAUGAAGGGGGGAUCCACUGUUUUUGUUUUGCAUGCAAAAUGCCGGCUGAAAUGUGUUAAAUUCACAGGUUCGUUGGAUAAAUUAUUCAUUUUGGAUGGUACGUAUGAUGAUAUUUCCAGACGUAAAAAAAAGUGUACGUUGGCCUUAAAAAAGAUCGUGUAAAGUUCGUGCCGAGUAUAACAGGAGUGAUUUGCACAUUCAAAUAUAUGUGUCCCUUCAAAAAGCAAAGUAGUUGAUAUAAUGCUAUAUGCUAUUAUUAAAUCCAAUGAUUUCUCGAUCCUCGUCUAGAGUCGUAUGAUCAUGACCUAAGUUCUCCCUCCUUAGACCUCCUUCUUCUUUAUAGCUCCUACUCUCUUUUUCGAUUUGAGGGCACCCGCUCUCCCAUCUCCACUCCUCCCGACACUCAGUGUCUUUGUUGCCAACUCAGCCAUUGCCGCCUUCGCCAUGCUAACCCCUCCAAAAGCUUUACCCCCCACCCCCCUCCCAAAAAAUGGUGUCCGUUGCUACAUUCACAUUGAACGAUCAGAGGUAAGAAACGUUUAAGUUCCCACCAAACGUAACGGUCCAAAUGUACACAUCGAAACACGUGUCACUUGAAAAGAAAAGGCAAUUGCUAUAUGCCAUCAAGUCCAACGGUUUCUUGAUCUACGUCUAGAAUCACAAGAGCGGGAUCCAACGACGCACACACUUUCUUCCCCCUCCGUCUCCCUCCUCCUUCUUCUUCCUCACCGCUUCCCCUCUCUUUUCAAUUUGAGCAUGCCCGCUCUCCCGCCUCUCGCCAUACUCCGGCAGUAGUCCCGGUAGCGUCAUUGUUUCCUGCUUAGCCAUUGCCGUCUCCUCCGCACGCUAACCCCUCCCAAAGCUUCAUCGCAAUAACACAAAUUGGAUCCAUUGAUCUGUUCCAAUUCCUUGAAAAACUUGUCGCGUGAAUGGAACAUACCGAGUGGUUCAUAUCGCAUACAAUUCAUUAUCAUGAAGCAUCUGCGCCUCCAACGGCCGUUUGCUUUGGGUGUUGGUGCAUUAAACCCCGGCCCGCCGAAACCGAAACGCCCGGGCAAGUGGCCCGCCAGCGCGCCAGGGGCACGCGAUCCUCCCGCCCGGCGGCCACCAGCUGUCACGCGGCCUGGCGGAGGAGCGCGGCCGCUACCUACCCCCGUCGUCGCGCGGCGUGUGACCGGCGCGGUGACGAGGCAGUCGAUGGGGGCAAAGCGGGAGCGCCCGGCGCGGGUCCUCCGUGUCGUGGCGUGCCCUGCCGUGGCCGCGCCCGCAAGAUCCAAGCCGAAAGCGAGGGGAAACUGCCGCCGCUCACGCCGUCCCCCGCGACGCCGCCCACUCCCUCUCGUCCUUAAGAGCGAGGGGACCCCCCUCGCGGCGUUCGUCAUCAGCUCUCUCCGAGGAACCUCGCCGCCCCCGCUCUCCGCUCCUCUCGGCGACGCCGCGCGCUCUGCACGCCGGUGGCCGCUCAACGCCGAUGGGGUGCGGCCAGUCGAAGGUGCCUCGCGGCGAGGGCGCUUCGGCGGCCGUCGCACACUGCCGCGACCGCUCCGAGCUGCUGGCCGCGGCCAUCGCCAGCCGCUACGCGCUCGCGGACGCCAACCGCGCGUACGCGGGCUCGCUCAGCGCCACCGGCGCCGCGCUGCACGACUUCCUCCGGGCCGUCCUGGACGCCACCCCGCCGCCUCCCGGGCCCGGUGCCGGCGACGCGCCGCGGGAGGGGGACGAUGACGACGCGGCCCCUCACGCCGCGACGGCGUCGCCUGACGCCUCAGAGGACGACGACGACGGCGGCGGCGGCGGCCACAUAUGUUUCCCCUCGCCCUCGGAUGAAGCCUCCGACGAUGAUGGCGGCGGGGAUACCAUGUCCACGUCCGAUGAUGAGGCCGAGCCGCCUCUCCCCAGGCCCGACGCCCUCCAGCCGGUGGCGCCGGCGCCACGGCCAUCCCGAGCUCCGCCCCAGCCGCUGCAGUUGGUCCCACAGUACGAUCCUGGCUAUCCCCCACAGUUCGGUUCUCUCUACCCCCCGCCGUACAGCUAUGGCCCCGUCCCCGGCCCCGCGUUUGGAUACGGUGGGGGCUACGGCGCCGACGUCAUGGGCGGCUACGGGCAGAGUUCCUAUACGUACAACAUCAGCUACACCCAGAGGCAGCCACCGCCGCUGUCAUCAACAUCCUUCGAGCAGCCGCCCCAAGCCACAGAUGCCACCGUCAGUUACUACACCUACCAGUACCAUGGCGAGGCCGUCCCGAGCUCUCACUACGGCGGAUCAUACUACUACCCCUACCCAUACCCGCAAGGCGGUGGCUUGCCUCCGGUGCCAGCAGCCUCCUCUGGCCACUUGGCCGCGCCACUGCCAUCGCCGUCGCCGCCGCGGGUGCCGAGCUGGGGCUUCCUGGAUCCUUUCGAGGCACUCGAGAGCUACUACCAGGAGCACCCGGUUCCCCCGGCGGCCCGUGCUGCGUCUAGCCGGAGCUUGGGUGACGUCGGGGAGGAGGAUGAGGGCAUUCCCGACCUAGAGGACGAGGAGUCGGGAGUGGUCGUCAGGGACGCUCACGCCGGGGAUGAGUGCACCCGCGUGAACGCGAAGUUUGAGGAGGUGCACAGGAAGUCCGAGUCGUCGGAUGGCAGUGGAAGCAGCGAGGAGGAGACAGAGGGGCACGUCGAGUUCAGAAGCAGCACGAUGGAUGGAGUAGAGGAGAGUGUGGUGGUGGAGGUGGAAGAACAGCUGAAUGAUGAUUCAGGCGUCGCUGAUGAGCCUCCUGCUGUGCCUGAGAUUAAGACCUACACCAGCGACGUCGAGGUGGCGCAGGAGAUCAAGUUGCAGUUUGACACCGCCUCCAAGUCAGCUGGUGACGUUAGCAAGAUGCUUGAGGUUGACAAGGUGCCUUACUACAAGAAGAAGAACUCGGGACUAAAAGGCUCGUGCAUUACUCGAUUUGCUGUCUAAAUAUUCAGUCUUUUGCUUCUUUAGUUGUUCACUUAUUUGUUGGUGACUAAGAUGGAGACUUUUAUCUAACACACUUGCUUUUGCAGUGCCCUCAAUGGUGAUUUGCGGACAGCCUUCCAAGGCCAAGGCGAUCAUGCAGUAUGAGGAGGAAAAGGCUAUGGAAUCUGGCAACCUUUCAUCUUCACUGCAGAAGCUGUACAUAUGGGAAAACAAGCUUCUUAAGGAAGUCAAGGUUCUCAUUUCUCAAAUCUCAACACACUUAAUAUUUUGAAUUUCUAGCUUUGCCUUUAAAUAUGUGGUGGUUGCAAUUUCUAGCUUUGCUAUGAAGAGACUCACUAUUUGCUAUUUAACUCUACUAGUUGCUUAAUAUUGUAAAAGAUGAUUUAGUUGGAAGUUUUGAGUACUAUAUUUGGAUAAUGAACGGAUUUCAACUACUUCUGCUUGCUGCAUAUGAUCCGUUAUCCUUUCAUUGAAUACUUCUUAGAUAGUAACGUACUAUUUUUACGAGUAAUGUACUAUUCUUGGAUAAUGAGUGUGAGUCUUUAACCACUUAUACUUACCGAUUCGAACAUGUUCUUUUAUUCAUUAAUUGAAUACUUGUUGGGUAGUAAUGUAUUAUGUUUUGAGUAACGCACUAUAUUGUGGAUGAUGAGCGGCUUUCAGCUACUUCUGCUUGCUGCAUAUGCUCCUUAUUUUUCCGAUGAAUAUUUGUUGCGUAGUAAUGUGCUAUCUUUACAAGUAAUGUACUAUUCUUGGAUUGAGCGUGAGUCUUAUGAUCUACUUAUACUUGCCUAUUGAACAUCUUAUUUUCUUCGUUAAAUGUAUACUUGUUGGGUAGUAAUGCAUUAUGUUUUUUAUUAAUGUAAAUGAACUUAAAUGACAAAUAUUUAUGCAUGCUGAGUAUGCUCCAAGGCAUCUAACUAUAGAAAGUUUACACGGUGGAGAAUUCCAAUCUAGCACUUUAUAUUAUUUGGAGUUUCAUACUAUUUAUUCUAGUUAUUAUUCAUUUUCUUCUUCUGAUGUGUUAGUUGAAGUCAGGUAUUUUUGUUUUAUAUGCUGUUUACCACAGGCUAUGGAGAAGAUAAGGGGGCUUUAUGACCAGAAGCGUAAAGAGCAGAAAAGAUUGUACUAUAGCGGUGCUGAAUCUCAUAAGCUUGAGGCAAUGGAGAUUUGUGUCAAGAAGCUGUCCACAAAGCUGACCAUUGCCAUCCAGAUAGUAAACAGUAUAUCAAAAAAUAUCAACAAGCUUAGAGAUGAAGAGCUAUGGCCUCAAACACAUGAGAUAAUCAAAGGGUAUGUAAUUAACAUGACUCUCUUUAUAUUAUAUUAGCACCUACUUCACUAUCUAGAUGCUAAUUUGAUACUUAACAUAUAUAGAAAUAUUAUUCCUGACUGGAAACUAUAUAUGUUUCAGGUUUAUGCAAAUGUGGCACACCAUGUCAGAGUGCCAUGAGAUGCAGUGCCAUGUUCUAUCCCAUGCUAAGAAUAUAGACUCUACUAUGGCAGCUGCAAGAAUCAAUGAAGAUCAUACAGAUUUAAUCAAGUAUCUGGAGGUUCAGUUGCUGGGCAUGACUGCCAAUUUUACCGGAUGGUUCGAUGCCCAGAAGAGCUACGCCAUCCUUUUGAAUGAAUGGCUUAAGAAGGGGAUUGAGUAUGAGCCAGAAGUAACUGAUGACGGGGUUCCUCCCUUUUCACCCGGACGGUUAGGAGCACCCCCUAUUUUCACCGUAUACAAUAACUGGGCAACCAGCAUGGCGAGGAUAUCCGAGGCUGAAGUGGUAGGCGCAGUGCAGGCUUUGGCCUCCAAUGUUCUGGGCCUCUGGGAGAAGAAGAUAGCAGGCGUAUCUUCAUCUGCACAGGCUGCUGAAGCUGGCCUGCAAUCGUGCAUGGCUAGAGUUUUUGAAGCAAUGGAGAGCUUCGCUGCUGCCUGUGAGAACACCUACAAGGAUAUUUGCCUUCGCGCUGAAGAAGAGAAUGGCAGACCUCCAGUUGCAGACAUCGCUGGUACAAGGCAACUAGGCUGAAAGCAUAUAUAGGCAGGGAAUGCACAUAUAGCGGUGAAGUAUGUGCAGGUUUAUUAGAGGCUAGAGCUCGAGGUAUCUUGGGGCUAGGGCUGUAGGUUGAGACAAAACCAGGUCCUGACGCUGCUGCAAACUUGUAGAUUGUCGGGUCAUCUCCAAAGCAUCUGCCUGCUUUUUUGUCUGCUGUCUCUUCAUUUUUGGAGUACAUGCGAUUGGUUGGUGCUGGUGACUGUAAUUCCGGCGACUGGCGCGUGCACAAUGAGGCAGCCGGAGAGAAGUGCAAUGGGGUGGAGCUUUGCUAGGCGCCUCUUCCUGAUAGAACUCGGAGAGGCUUGUCGACGUGCGUGCAUCAUCUCCGGGUGCAAGGUCUCUGAAUUCUGAUGGCAACGUGCUGGUGUAAUCAGCGAGGAGCUCGCGGUCGGUCCGGCGAGAUCACGCGUGGCAGCCGAAGAAGAUAGCCCUGGCACGCACCGAAGAAGAGAGCGGGGAGUUUCAGCCACAGGGCGAGAGCUCCACUGAAGUUGAUACUGCCGUCGAGGAUCACCGUGCCACCGCCCUUCACCGAGCGUCUGGCCGGCGGCCGUGGAAGCUCCGGACGCCUUCCGUAGGAUGAACGGAAGGGGCUCGGAGUGUGGCCUGAUGGGGAACAGCCUAGCUAGCCGGACGGUGUGGUCCAGGGAGCGAAUUUCAUCCAUUAGAGCCUUUUUCUGCAGCUUAUUACCUAGGGAGAUUGUUGUCCAGUUUGCGGCCCAUAAUAUUUUCUUAUUUUCCCCUCUCAUUUUCCUGUUGUUCUCUGUGUAGAAUAAUUUGUUCAUACCUAUUCACUUUUAGGACUAUUUUAUUCACAUAGUUAAAUUAACUGUGCAUCUUGUUUAGCAUUUUAUUCGCAUAAAACAACUAUUUUGCUCAUGUUGUUCAAGAAUUAUUAGCAUUGGCAAAAAUAUUCCGACUAUAUGAAAAAUGUUCGUGAAAAGUAUCAUCCAAACAUAGUCAGGUAUGUUCCGCCGCCCGACGGCAUGGGCCACGGAAGAACAAGCAGCGCGGCGCCGUGGACGGAGGAGAAGAGGCGCAAGACCGUCGACCCGCCAUCUCCUCCCGGCCCCGCCUCCUCCUCAUCCUCCGGCGACGCAACGGAGGUGAUGCCGAUGGACAUCGUCAUCGGACCUCAUCAGGUCCAGGAGGAUCAAGGCGCCGGACAAGAACCAAAUGAGUCGUCCGUUUUCUCAGCGGAAGACGACAUCGACGGCGAGGAGGUAUCUCGUUGCUACGAGCAGCUCCGAAAGCGCGAGGGCUUCCUCUUUAUCAUGCGUAGUAGCAUCGGGCGUCGCAUGGGGGAGAAAGACAGCGAUGAGACGUACAAACGCCUCUGCGAGCUUCGCGACAGAGACUACAAGGACCGUUAUGUCACUAUACCAUAUCAUUACACCUUAAGCCGAUCCCAUGUAUUAUUUAUGAUGAUCCAUAUGCCCUUGCAUGCAGAUCCUGAAGGGGGAUGAUGGUCUCAGCAACCCGGCCGGCCUCUGACGCUUUCGAAGCACAACUGUUAAGUAUGGACCCUGCUGAGGAUUGCCCGUGGGAUAACACCUUUGAGCCGGGUCCUAGCAUCUUUGGUUGGACCUACAACUCCGACGCCAUUGAUUUUCAUGGCUUGGAUGACUUGACUACCAGCGCAUGAUACCUACCAGAGUUGUGCGUACUUAAGUUCUUUAGCUUUUGCUUUAGCAGCAUUUUAUUUCUAGGUUUAAUGGGUAUCCAAUGUAAACUGUUGCUGCUACCGCAUGACCAUUGCUAAAAUCUACCCUUCUGUUUGGUAGUUCGGACUCUUGAUACUAUAUGUGCUAGUUUAGUUACGCUCCUAUUUGGUUCUGAAGUUUGUGCUGACCCCAAAUUUUAGGGCCACGGCAGUGUAGUGCACAAUGCUAUCAUGGUAGUCCGUAUCUGAAGAGUGGACAUAGGAUAUCAUAACGUCAGCAAACAUGACAAAACUCAAGAGAGGUGGCACUUCCAUAGUCAUUAAGUCCACAUGUAUGUGCAUGAGCUAUAUACUUCUGUUCCUGUAUUUGAAGCCUGUUAUGUUUUUGGCAAACAGAAUGGGCGGUGGGCACACUUUUUUACCGUGUUAUUAUUGUUCUUGAUUUGUUUUAAAAUUGUUGUAGCUGAAUUUGUUUUGCCAAUAUAUUUGUGCUCGAUCCGUUCUUUAUGCCUUUUAUCCGGUCUUUUACGUAAAUAUGAACCUUAAUUGAGUCUCUUAAUUGAGUCUAUUAUAGUACUUUUCAAAUGCUAGCGCUUCUAUAUUUUUUAAAAGCCUAAUUGCACUUAAAUUAGAAUAUGAGUUACUCAAGAACCAAGUUACAUAAAAAGAUUGAUCGUCCACUUUUGCCUAUGUACUUCAAAUGCAUGAUUCUAGUAUUGUUACUUGACUAAUGUAUUAAUUGCUUCUCUCCUUUGGGUAGCAGGAUUUUGAUGAGUACCAUCAUUGGGAUGAUUACCGCUCAACUCUUAGCGAUUACAAAACUGAUCAGGAGUAUGUCAAGUAUUGUGAUGAAAUAUCAAAGAAAAUCAAGGUAUGCAUCAUGUCUCUGUCUGGCUAUUGAAAAGAGCUCAUAAGUUAGUGCUGUAGAUUGAUUUGACUGACGGACACAUUUUUCACCGUUGGCUAGUGGGUUGAAGAGUAUAUGCGUCAGAACAAUACAGAGGUAAGCCUGAACUAUAAAACAAUGUAAUUGAGAUAUGUGCUUUGUUUAGCACCAUGAUAACUCCUUUGCUCUUUAGUUUAAAGAGAAGUUUGAGCAAAGAAGCCGUAAGCAAGCUUUGAAGAUCGCAAAAGGCUUCCCCUAUUUGACAUUUACUUUAGCUCAUUGUGGCUUUGAUGUAAGAUCCCUUUGUUUAGACGGCAACACUUCUCGUUGAUAUACAUUUGACAAUUUCAUUCUCUUGACAUAGGAGUAUUUACUGGACCUAGCCUACGAACUUGAUACAAAGGAUUAUGUUCUUGUUUAUUUUGAGGUUUGGGAGCGAUCGAGUCUCUUGUAAGUAGGUUGACAGGAAGUCUAUGGAAUAUAUGAAUCGCUAAUCAUGUUUUGCCUAUGCUUAAUUUUUUAUCAUGGCUCGGGAGCGAGUCUCCUGUAAUCUUUUUGCCUAUGCUUAGUUUUUUAUGUUCACUUGCAUUGUCUGAGUAGAUGAGUUUCGAAGAUGCUUUGAGGUCAGCCCUUCCGGCGUUUGAUUAUUCACACCCCUCGUUAUGCGUAGCAACUCCUGAUCUUGAAAGGAUAUUGUGAGUACGACACAAGCUUGUACCGUAUCAAGAAUAACGUAGAUAAAUCUCGUAAAAAACCCUAGAUGGCGUUGAGGCAACCACGACAAGAGAAUAGGAUUUUAGCAAAACCGACCCCAAAUUCUUUAAGUACAACUUCAAAAGAGUACGAGUAAUUGUCACUCCCUCACAAACCCUACUUGACCCUCUAGGAUCCUUUGAUUCUUACCCUAUACAAGAAUCUAGUGCUAUAUAACUGUCUAGCAUAUCCCUCUUGAGGGCUCCUAAUUGCCUCUCACAAGCUUUGAAACCUAGAGGCUCCACCCCUUUGUUUAUAUAGUCCCCUCCAAGGCUCUCAUACAUGCAAGUAGAAGUCUUGCACCUAGUAGGAUUCCAUACUUAAAUCCUAAUAGAAAUAGAAGUCGUAAUAGCACACCUCUAUUAAAUUUUAAUCUAAGUAGGAAUUGAGUCACCGUACAACAAUGGUAUUGCCAUCGUCUUCUAUCUUUUAACCUUGACAUGUGGUGUAUUGGUUGUCAUAAGAGCUCGUGGAUUUGUUUUGUGAUGAAUUGCUCUUUUGGCAACUGACUUUCACGAUUGUAUCUCAGUUUGCUCACAACUGAGUGAGGUUCUAAAAUCAAUUCAGAUUUCCAGCAGCAGGAAUUGCGCGCAGCAAGGAACGCCUUUACAAUACUGGCUGCUGUUUAUCUCUUUCAGCACGCCGGCAUGGAAAUGCAAUUGAUCAUCACAUUGCAUGAUCUGUAAGAUUGUCGUUGCAUUGUUCAGAUGAUCUGUAAGGCUUGUUGCAUCAGUUUAAUGCAGUUUGACACGUACCCCGGGAUAUGAUCCUCUCACAUAAAGUCAUAAUGCAGGGGAUUCGGACAGGCAGACACACUAACCUCUCAUGAUUAGGGCUGGUCACCGGAUCAGGCCAGCACAAGAGUACAGGGCUGACCGUAUCUCCCUUCCUUGUUUAGACCCUGCAGAGGAUCCCAAGGAUGUCUUGCUCCAUUUAACAAUCCAAGCAUGUCCAUCUGUCCAUCUGAAACCCUGAAACAUCCCGGCAUAAACUACUUCGAAUCACAGGCCUGUACGGGCCCCGAUCAUACGGGUAUAAUCCCGUACGCGAUCCCCAAUGAUUCGUGCCUGUGCGUGCGCAACACCGCGGCAGCUUCGCCGUCGCCGGCCAUAGAGACGCCACGUACCCUGUGCCUUACGUUCAUGCACGCGCCCAACCACUUCUUCAGCUGAUGCGAAGUUCGCAACCGCGGCGCACGCUCGGGCGACGCUUCCUAGUACGUGCCUCCGCCGUGCGUCUUGGCUGCCGCGGCCGCCGGUGGCAUGCCAGCCAGGCCGUGCCGGCCGGCCGGCCGCCACCGACAUGACAGCGCACGGGACGGAGCACCUGCCGUGUCCAUGGUAUAUAUGCGCUCGCACGGCAAGUCCGGCGAGGGAUUGAGCAGCUCGACAAGUGUACUGCGAAUCCAUCACGAACGUACGGACUACGUACGCCACCAGUGAAGUGAUCGGUCAUGGAAAUGGAGUACUGCGCGGCGGCGGAGCAGCAGCUGAGCAGGCUGAGGCAGCACGUCCUCGUCGCGUUGGGCUCCUCGCCGGCGGCGAUGGCAGGCGCCCUGGAGGGCGUGGCGCGAGUGUACGAGCACGCGGAGCCGCUGGCGCGGUCCGCGCGCGCCGACGUGCUGGACGGCGAGCUGGAGGCCUCCGUGGCGCUGCUCGACGCGUGCGCCGCGGCGCGGGACGCGCUCGGCGCCAUCCGCGCGUGCGCGCUCGACGCCGAGGCAGCCGUGCGGCACCGCGACGGCGCGGCAGCCGACCGCGCGGCCCGUACGUACGCGCGCCUGGUGGAGCGGGCGCGCGCGGACGCCAGGAGGCAACGCCGCCGCGCCGGCUUGAGGUCCGACCACCAGGUGGCGGACGGCGGCGGCGUGCACGCGCUGCAGGAGGCGAGGCGGCUCACCGUGGCUGUGCUGGAACGCGUCGUGGCGGCGCUGUCGCGGCGCGUGGCCGCCGCCGCUGGUACCCCUCGGCCGGCGAGCAGUUGGUCCACGCGUGUGGCGAGGGCGUUCCGGAAGAGCGCCCGGGUGGCGUGCGAGGACGCCGCCGACGAGGCCACUGUGUCCUUGCCGGCGCUGCCGUCCAAGGACUCGCACGAUGGCGAGGCGGCAGUGCGGGUGCAGCGGGAGCUGAGGGCACUGGGCGACACGAUUCAGCAGCUGGAGGACGGCCUGGAGCUGCUGUUCAGGCGGCUGGUGCAGUGCAGGGUGUUCUUGCUCAACGUGCGCAGCUGUUAGAUUCACCAGAGCUUAAAAUGUAGAUCGAGUAGCCGUGCUUGUAGAUCAGAUAGCACAGAUAGAUGAUCUGCGUGUAAAAGUUUUGACACUUGGUGCUCCAUGCUAAUGGAAAGUUUGAGUCAUCAGUCAUGAUUCAUGAAUCUCUGACGCAUCACAACCAAAUAAUUGUUAAAGAAAAUAUCAAAACUCAGAUCUGUACAGGCGGCCACUGGAUAGAUUUUCGAUUCUCUUCGAAAGAAUUCGUGUCACUUUCUUGUCUUUUUAUUGUAUUCAAAUAUCACAUAUGUGCUUUUUUGUAAUUUUUCACACUUGAUAGGGUGUGAAAGACUUCGCACUUCAACCGAAACAAAUGCUAAUAGAGAAGAAUCACACAAGUUAUACAAUGCAAAAGUCACCAUGCAAAAGUACUGUAAAGUUGUACAAUGAUAUGCAAAAAUUUGUCAUAUUGUGCAUCAAUAAGACAUGAAUUAAAAAGGGUGAAAAUAUCUUUAACAGACGUGAGGCAUUCUACCGAGAUUUUUUUCCAGUUGUUUACUUGGUUACUGUAAUAUGCUUACCCUUGGUGUCACUGCAGCCAUGGAGAUUUCCAGGGAAAAUUUCCAUCACUUACUGUACAAACUAACUAAUCACCAAGGAUUCAAGUUCAUGCACGUAAUUUCACGGCUACUAAUUUUGAUGCUGCCUGCUGAACGACGAGCAAGAAACCGUCCAUCCACACAUGCUGAAUGGAUUGAGUUCAGGCGGCGCUUGGACCAGACAUUCCUGGAACAUGCCCUUUACCAAAUGAGUACGAAAGGCAGAUCCUGCUUCGGAUUGCCCAAACAUGCCUCUCAACACUGAUGAACCUUCCAUGAACCUCUUCUGUUCCUGUUCCUUUCAGACUCCAGGCCGUACUCUGAACCCAAACAGCACAUCAAUCCCUCGAGCGUGCACUGUACUCUGCUGGCAAUGCAUCCAACAUGACAGCCCAGCCAUGUUAGUCAGCGAUACGUGGUGAGGUAGACAACAGGUGAAGGGCAUCUACUUGUCUGUGACCUGCAAUCAGGGGCAGUGGGGUGGUGGUCAUGGAGGUUCCUGCUGUCCUUCCAUUGUACCCACACCAUCUUCUCAACCUCCUGAUUAUAAGUAGGCGGCUGCGACUAUCGACACAACAAUCAGUUCAUCCUUUGCUCCCUUUGCCUAUCUCAUCUCCCAUCUCAACACCGAAAGACUGCACAAAUUUUCAUCCCAAACAUGGCCGGCCAUCAGAGAUCAACGAGCUGGCCGUCUAUGGCUCAUCCCAACAAGAUUGACAUUCAAGAAGCUCUGCACAGCAUAAGCUCACUCAUUUCUACGCCAUCAGCUACCAUCGAAGUGGUAUGCGAUGGUCUGAGGAGGCUUGGAGAUGUCUACAGCUGCAUCAAUGAGGCCAUAUGCUUGCAUAGCAACCAGGUACAUGGGAAGAGGCUGGAGGAAGAAAUGGAGAGGUCGCUUCAGGUGCUGGAUCUCUGCAAUACCGUGCAAGAAAGCUUCACUGACCUGAAGAUGACCAUCCAGGAGCUGCAAAUGGUUCUCAACAGAGGAGACCUCCCAGUAGCUCAAGUUAAGGCUCAAUCCUAAGCCCGCUUGGUAAAGAAAGCCAAGCAUCACCUGAAGAAAGCUGUCAGCAAGUCUACCUCCCAUGAGGAUGCGUGGUUGGUCAGCUUAUUGAUCACAGCAAGAGGAAUCGCUGUCUUGGCGCUCAAAUCCGCAGUGGAGCUCUUGUCGAAGCAAAUGGCUACCUGCAGUGCGAGCAAGUGGUCCCUUAUCACCAAACCAAUCCAAAAGAAGAGAGUUUCAUGCGAGGAGGUGCAAUUGCAGGCACUAGAGUUGGGUAUUGUAGGCCUGGAGAGUUCAGUCGAGAACCUUUUCAGAAAUUUGAUCCAAACAAGGGUUUCUCUCCUGAACACUCUCAGCUCGUAGAUUCUCCGCUGGUGCACUGCCAUUGACAUCCAAAUUUUAUAGGACCUGUCAAUCAGCAUGAAAUUUUGUACAUUGAUUGUAUAUAGCUCAAAAGAUAUAGCAGUAGAUUAAAGGCAUGGUUCUAUUAUCUGGAAAAAGAAAUUGCAUAGGUCAUGUGUUCUCUAUCACUCACUUACGCUGCCAAUCGGUUUAAUGGACUUCAUUUUUUAAUUUAACUAGCCUGGAGGCUAGGGAUGCAAGUUUGGUCUUCUCUAGGUCAUUGGGUCGACACAAAAUUCAACCAAAAGAAUUAAUCCGGAUUUCAAAGCAAGAAAAGUGGAAAGAAAUGAACCAAGGGAGUGACCCACAACUACCAUUGGGUACCCACUUGUAUCCCUACUAGUGGCCCCCAUUUGAAAAACAAGUGCUGUCUCUAUGUAUUAUGUACAAUCAGAAUUUAUCAAAACUGAAACAACCAAAUGAAUUUACCUUAGCCGUGAUUGCUUGUUCCCUAGAAAAAACAAAUCACACAGUAUAACCUUAGUAUUCCCUCAGUCUUUUUACUAACUGGUAGAAUGGAAUUCAUGGAUUUCAUCAUUUGAGCAAUAAGUGCUAUCUCUAGUGAGCAAGCACAAAUGGUAUGCUUUACUUACCAAGUGGCCCAAUUGAGCAAUGUAAGUGCUAUCUCCAUGUACAGUGCACAAUCAGAAGUUAUCCCAACUGAAACCACAUAUUUGUGUACCUUUAACAAUUAUUACCUGUUUCCCACACUUCCUUCCAUGCCUACAGACCUAAAGUUUUCAAAUAUCUUGCCAGAUGCUCUCUGAAUUCAUAUAUGCUACUGCUGUAGAAGUUCGCUGUUAGAGGUUACCACUUCAUCUCAUUACAUUUCUGCUGCAUCCGUAGGAUUUUUUUCCUAUUAAUGUAAUAUGGCAUGAUUAUCUAAAGAUAGACAGCUGAAACUUAUGUUAAGUGUCAGCUAUACUGUUCGUUAAGUCAAAAGUCAUACUUACAUGGUAGUCCUUGCUGUUGUUGUAGUGCCAGCUGAAACAUGCCAGCAGUGCUGCACGAGCAAUGGAGGCGUCGAACACAUUGCAAGGUUGAAUUAUCAGCAGAGUAGACAAAUUAUUCCUCCCAAUCAACACCAAAACUACAGUUCUUCCCUUCUUCCUUGAUGAUCUCAUAUCUAGAUCUGAAAGUAACGUAAACCAUCGUGUAGAGUGAAUUGUCACUAAUAAUUCAGACAUGCCAGAUCAAUAAGCUCACUCAUUAACGUUUGUUGCAGUAUUAAACUGCAGGUGCCUAACAAUUUGUCUGUACUUCGGGGCUAUGCACCUCAACACAUCGCUUACCAACAGUGCACGGCAUAUGAAGGGUGGUGACCAAGAUUCCUUCUGUCAUUUGCUCUGUCCAUGCCAUUGCUUUUGCAGCUCUGUUAUAUAAAGGGAGAAGCCAAGGUCGAGCAUCAACAAACUGCAGCUUCUCUUGCCUAAUCUUCCCUUCCAUCUCCACUUCUCCAUAUAUUGCAUCAAAACUUCAUCCCCAAGCAUGGAUUCCCACCUGAGAUCCUCAAGUCUGCCUUCUAGCCCUCGCUCAAACAAAGCCAGAGUUGAGCAGCAGCUUGAGAGCUUGAAGACAAUCAUCUCUUCACCCUCAGCAACCAUUGAAACGAUGUGCAAUGGUUUGAAGAGGCUUAUAAGCAUCUAUAAUGGCAUUGAGGAGAUGAUAUGCACACCGAGCAACCAAGUUAGCCUCUGCCAAACCCUGCAAAGGAAGGCAGUUGAGGAAGAGCUCGAACGGUCGCUCGUCUUGCUUGACCUCUGCAACAUCAUGCAGGAAAGCUUCACCAACCUGAAGAUGAUUAUACAAGAACUGUUCCUGUCUCUUAAAAGAGGAGAUGAUGCAGCUGCUCAAGUCAGGGCAUACAUCCAGCUGACCAAGAAGGCACACAAACAGUUCAAGAAGGUCUUCAAAAAGACUACUUCUGAUGAGAAGGAUUGCAAGGUGGUGAUGGUACUGGAAGAAGCAAGACUGAUCACUACCUCGCUGCUCGAAUUCACAUCGUGCCUCUUGUCAAAGCAAUUUGAGAUGCCCAGGCGAUCUGUUAUCUCCAAAACAUUCCAGAAGGGAAAAUUAGUGUGUGAAGAGGAGCAAUUGCAGGCAUUAGAGUGCAGUAUCAGAGAUCUAGAGAGCGGAGCCGAGCUUCUGUUCAGGAGAUUGAUCCAGUGCAGAGUUUCUCUUCUGAAUACUCUUAGCUCAUAGAUAUCCCAAGCUCUAAUCCCCUGCGAUUGGCAUCCACCUUUUAUAGGAUUGUCAAUCAUCAAACAGUUUUGCAGCAUGUAUACCUGUAGACAUGUAUAGAAAGUUCAGAGAAUCAAAAGCUAAAACUUCUUUUGCCAAUUCAUGGUGUGAAUUAUAUAAUUUAUGCUUGCCCUUAAUAUCAUUAAUACCUUGGCAUCUCAAAUGUAUGGGGAGAAACUGACCAAAUGGACCAUUUGAACAACUGUUGUCUCUAUGUAGUAUGUACAACCGGAACCCCAGAAGUUAUAUAAACUGAAACCACAAAGACAAUUAACUUAACAGUGGUUGUUUCCUAGGCCUUUUGUUACAUAUUCUUAACCUGUGGUAAUUCCUUCGAUUUUGUUACUACACUGGUACAAUUGAUUUCAUGCACGAUUGUACCAACUUAGUGGCCCCUUUGAGCAAUAAGUGCUAUCUCUAGCUAGCAUGCACUAAUGUAUACUUUUACUGACCAAGUGGUCCAUUUGAACAAGAAGUUCCAUCCAUUCUUAGUAUGCACAAUCAGAAGUUAUACAAACUGAAAUGACAAAGACAUUACCAGAAUACUGAAACCUAAAGGCUUAAAACUUUACAAAUGUAUCGACCGAUACAGUUUGCAUUCAUAUGCUACUGCUGUAAGGUAGGUAGCUGUCCAAUCACCAAUUCAUCCCAUUACAUAUUUAUGGUAUGCUUGGGCCACUCCCGGUGGAGAGUUUGAUAGGAUUUCAUUAUUAUUAAUUAGCAUGCCACAUAGAAGUUGCAUCAAAUUUAAAGGGAGACACCUGGACACCACAGGUACCAACUGUUGGUGAGUCAUGAAAUUAAAUGUUAUUUGGAGCCUAUGAAACCCCAUGCAUUGGAAAGGUAGUUUCAAACACUAUUUUAUUUCCUUGUUUCUUAUGUGGCUAUCUAGGAAACAUCAAUAUGAAACCCCCACUGGGAUUGACCUUAGGAUGUUUUCCCUAUUAAAUUAAUCUGGCAUGAUUAUCUCAAGACAGAUAGAUUAGACCUAAUGUUAAACGUGAACCAUAACAUUCACUAAGUCAAUACUUGUGCGCUUACGUGGUUGUCCUUGCUGUUGCUGUGGUUGAUUGAAACAUGCCAGCGAUGCUGCACGAGUAGUGGAAACAUAGAACAUCGUGAGGUUGAAUUAUCAGCAGACAAUACAAACCAUUCCUCUCAAUCAACACCAAGACUACAGUUCUUCCCUUCUUCCUCUUCAUGACUCUUAUCCAGAUCUGAGAGUAACGCAAAUCCUCAUGCAGAGUGGGCGAGUGGCUGUUGCCAAUAAUUAAGACAUGCUAGGCACAUAACCUCACUCAUAACAUUUGUUGCAAUAUUAAAAUGCAGGCGCAUAACAACUUGUCUGGACUUCCAUCACUUAACACCGGUGCACGGCAUAUGGAGGGUAGUGGCAAAGAUUCUUUCUGUCGUUUGCUUUAUUCAUGCCAUUGCUUCUGCAUUCUGUUAUAUAUAGAGAGAAGCCUGGGUUGAGCACCAACAAACUGCAGCUUGUCUUGCCUAAUCCUCUCUUCCAUUUCCAGUCCUCCAUAAACAUUAAACAGCAUCAUAGUUUCAUCUUUGAGCAAUGGCUUCCCAUCUGAGAUCCGCAAGUUUGCCUUCUAGCCCUUGCUCAAACAAAGCUGAAGUCGAGCAGCAGCUGCAGAGCCUGAAGACAACCAUGGCUUCAUCAUCAGCAACCAUUGACAUGAUGUGUGAUGGUUUGUGGAGGCUUGGAAACCUCUACAGCGAAAUUGAGGAGAUGAUGUGCACGCCAAGCAACCAAAUCAACCUCUGCUAAACCCUGCAAAGGAAGGCAGUGGAGGAAGAGCUUGGGUGGUCACUUGUGUUGCUUGACCUCUGCAAUGCCAUGCAGGAAAACUUCAUCGAGAUGAUGAUGAAAGUACAAGAACUGCUCUUUUCUCUCAAAAGAGGAGAUGAUGCAGCUGCUCAACUCAAGGCAUACAUCCAGAUAACAAACAAGGCGCACAAACAGUUCAAGAAGGUCUGCAAAAAGACAACUUCUGAUGAGAAGGAUUGCAGGGUGAUCAAGCUACUAGCAGAAGCAAGAUCGAUCACUACCUCAGUGCUUGAAUACACAUCGUGCCUCUUGUGUAAGCAAAUUGAGAUGCCCAAAAGGUCUCUUAUCUCCAAAGCAUUCUAGAAAAGAAAAGUAGUGUGCGAAGAGGAGCAAUUGAAGGCAUUAGAGUGCAGUAUCGGAGAUCUUGAGAGCGGAGUGGAUCUUCUGUUCAGGAGAUUGAUCCAGUGCAGAGUUUCUCUUCUGAAUACUCUUAGCUCAUAGAUGCCCCUAGUUCUAAACCCCUGUGAUUGGCAUCCAACUUUUAAAGGAUUAGUCAAUCAUUAGAACAGUUUUGCAGUAUGUAUACUUGUGGAUAUGUACAGAAAAAUUCACUGAAUCAAAAUAUAGAAAGUUCUUUGCCAAUUCAUGUUGUGAAUUUCAUCAUUUAUGCAUGCCUGUGAUAUUAUUAAUAUGCUAACUACAUCACUUGCUAUAUCGUCCUCUACACGCAUGUCUAAGAAAAGCUGUACUGCUGCUAAAAAAGAUUGAUGUGUUGGUUACGGGCCACAUGGCCUUAGCUAGUUUGCAAAUGCCAUGUUACUCACAUUUGCCUCAUGUGCACAAUUCUUCUAUAAUGGGUCCUGCUCUAUGCAGCUGAAACAUGCCAGCUCAAUAGACGAAAGCAGAAGCUAUAACUGUGUGAUUAACGUGAUUGUAACCAAGUAAAGCAUCUGCUUUUUCACUAAAUAACAAUAAUCAUACUGAUACAUAUACCACCAAUAAUAUCCAGUUAACAAACUGUUAAACACUUACCUGCACUAUAUUCAAGACCCACAGCAAUACCAAGAACGAAUGCAGAUUCUUGCUACCAAUAAUUGGAACAUGAUAGAGUGUCACUCCCAUUUUCGAGAUGCCUGCUGCCUGGUGGUCCAGAGUAACAUAAAUCACGUGGAAAACCUUGAUGGUAUGGCAAUUCUGCAGCACUGUCCUGAAACCACAGCAGACAGCAUCUUGAAAAUGAAAUGGCAUGAUUCCCUCUGUCUACCACUCAAAAGAUGUUCUCUUAGCUGCUUCUGGUGUAUAAAUAGGCCUUGAAGAAGGGAUGGACACAUCAAACCAAAGUUUCUUCUAUCAUCCCCCAACACCUCAAGUCCUCAAACCUCAGAUACUCUAAUACAAACAAUGGCUUUCCAUCUACGAUCAGUUAGCCUGCCAUCUAAGAGGCUCUCCAAUGAGGCUGAAAUCGAAGCCGAGCUGCAAAGCCUGGAGGCAAGCACCUCUUCCCCCUCUGCAACCAUCGAGUCAGCAUGCGAUGGUUUGAGGAGGCUUGGAGAUGUCUACAGCCACAUCGAGGAGAUCAUCCACUUGCCCAGCAACCAAGUUUGCUCCAUCCAGCAAAGGAAGGAGUUGGAUGAGGAAAUGGAAA